This is a long non-coding RNA of Dicentrarchus labrax (European seabass), 3757 nucleotides long. RefSeq lists it as uncharacterized. The record is from RefSeq and is a predicted model, not a curated record. Lineage: Eukaryota; Metazoa; Chordata; Actinopteri; Moronidae. The transcript has 8 exons.
GGGAGUGCUAUGUGGACGAGCAUGGGACCUGUGGGAUGUGCUCCUACUUCUUAUAAUAAUGAUUGUAAUUAUUUUGAUGUACUUCAUUCUCAUUAUUGUUCUCCAUCAGUACAAGUACAUUUAGCAAGUUUGGGGUCAUUAAGAUUUUUGUUUUGUUUGAGAUGUUUAUUUUGGUAAUUAUGUAAGUAAAAAAUAUUAUUUAUAAGAUUUUGUUUUUCAAUUUGGUUUCCUUUAUUAAAACAGUUCAAACUGCAAAAAGUUUAUUUUUAUUCCCUGAUUUUGUGUGCUGCAGAACAACUGUAAAAUAAAUGUUUUCAUCACCCUUCCUGUACAGAGCCAAGGCACACACUGACAAUAACAACAACAACAACUACAACAACACUAACAGACAGAACGAUGAUGUGGAAGAGCCAAGACGCCUGUGUGCUUGUCUGGGGUCUUAUAAUUAUUAAUCAUGCAAAUAAAUGAUCAUGAAAUUUGGGUGGGGUUAUGUUUAGGGCUUAGGAUCAAGGAUAGGUUUAGGAUUUGGAAUUAUGGUUAUGUUUACGGCCUGGAUAAGGGUGAAGGGUUAAGUUUAGGGCUUAAGAUCUGGGUUGGGUUUAGGGUUACAAAUCAUCAUAGCCAAAUCCUAAGUGUGCUGGGGUGCAGAUCCCAUCAGGUGCCACCGGAGGGCAGGCGCUGCCCCUAACCUGGCAGCACAAGUGAUGCCACACCACAUAUGACUCAACCUGUAGCGGGUUUCCACAGAGAGUUUCUAAGUGUGUUGGUGUGCAGGAGGAUUCCUGAUUACAAGUCUAUUUGAUAAGUUUUUAAUUAUAUUUGUAUAUGUAUAUAAGAAAUCAUGUAUCACUUCAUCUCUUUGUUCAUUUAUUUUAAUUAAUCAACUGUAUACAGAUAGUCAAGUGAAUUUUUGCUCUUUUCAAAGAUUAAUUGAGCAGGAAGGAAACGUUGGGGUCAAAGGUCAAGGUAUGUAUACAUGUACAUAUUAAAUUGUUUGUUUGUUUCUGACUUGAUAUAUUCAUUUUUCAUUAAUCAACCGUAUCAUUAGACAGACAUGUCUAUUUUCUUUUCUUUUCUGGCAGAUUGAGAUCAUGUCGGCUCCCGCAAGUCUGUCUCCCCCACACCAGACCACAGAUACUGUUAUGGUUUGGUUUAUUAUGUCUUUGUUGUUGUGCUUCUCUUUUUGUUCUCUCUCUUCCCCCUCCCCUUUCUGUUCUCUUGCAGAGCUUGUGUGGGGCAGGGUGGUGUGGCUGGCUUCCUCCUGUUGGCACACCUGUUUUCACUCAGGCCAUUCCCUCCACUUCAUUAGCCCGGUCUCUUCUCCGGCUCUCUGCUGUUCUGCUACUUACCCACGUCUAGUUUUGCCUGUGCAAGUCUUCUGAAGACAUCCUCCUGCCAGCCAGCUCCUUGCCUCACCUGCCCGUUUCAGUUCCGGUUUUGUUUUGGAUAACUAUUAAAUAUCUUCAGUUCCCACACACCAGAGACUGUGUCUUUGCUUUGGGGUCCAAGUCUCUAGAGAACCUAACAGAUACCACAGCCUUCUUCACGUGGCCUCCAAGACUCUCGAAGUCAUUGGCGAGAUUCAGUGGCGCUCCCUCUGCUAUUCGAUACACCUGAAGGUGCACUGAGAGCACGGCAUGCCCCGGAUGGAAACAGUGUUACAGAGGCUCCUAAAGGAGAUGAAGAGAGGUUUGCUCCUGAAGACCCUGACCUUCAUCUCCUGUGUGGCCAUCAUCCAGAAUGGAGAUAAAUGUGCUUGGGGGGCGUGUCGCAGGCGGGGUUGCAGCAGCUACAGAUCCAGGGGGAAUACAAGAAGAAGAAGAAUCUCAGGAUUUGGAGCCUGCAUCCAACCGUCCCCUACAAGCACUCCACCAUCCCAUCCCUGUGACCACCACCGAGUGAGGAGAAGGAGGAGAAGGCCUAACUAUAAGCUUUGUCAAAAAGGAAGGUCUUAAAUCUACUCUUAAAGUUGAAGAGGGUGUCUGCCUCCCAGACUGAAACUGGAAGAUGAUUCGACCAAAGAUGAGCUUGAUAACUGAAGGCUUUUGCUCCUAUUCUGUUUUUUAAGACUUAGAAGUGGAUGGUGCUUUGUUUCAAGCAAAGCAGGCCCACUACGUGCAAAGGCUGAGAGAGUUGAGGGCAACAAACCCAAUGCCACCAAUGGUGUCCAGGCUGGACCUUGACCUUAAGUUGGCCAACUGCAUUGAAGAAGGCUGGGUAUAAACCAACAUCAGUCAAGAAUAUGCUCAGCAACGCAAAGACCUUCCCCUCCCACGUAGAGCUCUUUCACUGAAAAGAAAACCUCCUGACAGCCACCCGGAUUGGCCAAAGACUGCAUCAAGAGACUGCAGUCGGACUUUCUGGGGGAAACUGGUCAGUGCCUCGGAGGAGCAAACAUUCAUCAUGGUGGCAACGAUGAGGACCCCUGCUCUGCUGAAGCAAAUGCAGGAAAAGGUACAAUUGGUCACCGUAGAGCUCCUGCAGGGUUACCUUAUCGUCACUGGACACUGGCCAGUGGUGUACUGCAGCCUGACAAAGAAAGAGGUCUGGGAGCGAGAAGAAAAGGAGGGCUUUUACAUGGUGUGGAUUGAGAGUAACAAGACCCAGGCCACAUAUGGGCACGCCCAGAUGGUAUUCAUCAGAGUGCUCGAUUGAGUCUACCCAAAAGUGCCUCUUGUUUUCCAUAAUAUGGAGGGAAAAGAGCACUGGAAGCUGGGCCUUCUGCUGAAUGCGGCGUGGAGCGACUCAGGACUCACCAGUACUGUGACAUUCAACCAGAUCCACUCCAGGGUGAGAAGUCAGGAGGCCAUGGAGGUUUGCAGCCUGAGGAUGAAAGCCCUCAUGGAGGAAACGGUGGACCCGCAUCCUGCCUCCACCUCAGACUCUGGGGGUGAGGAACCAAUGUAUGCUGACAGCAUGUACUCUGUGUCUGAGCUCUCUGAAGGAGAGAAGGAGUUAAUGAAGAUGAGAAGGCGGCUUUUCGGAGCAGCAGGGAGGGAAGAAAAGCAAAGGAAAGAAGGACAAGGGUCAGAAAGAUGAGGAGACGUGCCCAAGCCUUUGAAUCAGACACCGACCCUGAGUGCCUGAUGAUCAUGACGGAUGCAGCGGAAAAGCAGGGAUCAGAAAUGGAAACAUUUUACUGAAUAGAAGAGGAGGGGCAGCGUGCACACGGACCAAGGGAGGGGAAAUUGUCUAGGUUCCCAUCCAAUUGAGGAUUUGUAGUUAAGCAUUGCUGAGUGGAGUGAUAUAUUUUAUAUCUGUAUAUAUUGUACUUAUGUAUAUUUUAAAUCUGUAGAUAUUUUAUAUCUGUAUACAUUAUCAAUUAUUUUAUAUCUGUAUAUAUUUAUUUAUUUUAUAUAUUUUGUUGUGCCUGUGCUGCAGGGGCUGUAAGAUAUGUGGAACUGGGACAUUAACACAUGCUGCCUCACCUCCUGGAGGUGAAAGGUCAAACUAUAUAGAAACUUAGUAAUCAUGUCAUCAGAACUUCUCAUCUUCUCUGCAGGUUAGAGGUUGUCAGUUGGGAGCAAAAACCUACAGAAAAUAGUAACAAUAUGAUGCCUGGAAAUGUGGACUACAGUCAGACAACUGAAAUUACAGUUAAAUGAAACGGCUGCAAAGAGUUUUUGUAAGAAAAGUUUUCAUUUCCAUCAAAUUGUAGGAGCAGUGACAGUACAAAAGGUCUUGCAUUGUAUAAAUAGAAAAAUAGAUUAAGAUUAUGAUAAAAUUUUAAAAAAUCUAAUAAAACGCUUGUCGCUCA